GGUGCUGUGGCUUAGUUGGUUUAAGCCCCUGUCUAGUAAACAGGAGAUCCUGGGUCCAAAUCCCAGCAGUGCCU
RNAcentral lists this transfer RNA (74 nucleotides) under Ameiurus melas (black bullhead). RNAcentral describes it as "tRNA-Thr". It matches the Rfam family "tRNA". From Rfam's summary of the family: Transfer RNA (tRNA) molecules are approximately 80 nucleotides in length. Their secondary structure includes four short double-helical elements and three loops (D, anti-codon, and T loops). The record is from RNAcentral. Lineage: Eukaryota; Metazoa; Chordata; Actinopteri; Siluriformes; Ictaluridae.